This 287-nucleotide antisense RNA is filed under the name Lactococcus cremoris subsp. cremoris TIFN6. RNAcentral describes it as "Lactococcus lactis subsp. cremoris TIFN6 Listeria sRNA rliD". It matches the Rfam family "Listeria sRNA rliD". The record is from Rfam by way of RNAcentral. Lineage: Bacteria; Bacillati; Bacillota; Bacilli; Lactobacillales; Streptococcaceae.
CUUGUAGUGGGAAGAAAUCACCUGUAGCCAUUUUACCCAUUGUAGCAGCUGUCAAAACUGUUGUAUCUCCAUAACGUACAACCACAGCUCCAUUUGCUUGUUUUGCAACUUGACCUGUUUCAACAGUUAAAGUUCGUCCUGCAAAUUCGAUUGAAAAUGUUUCUUUUGCCAAUGUUAUUCUCCUUGACUUGAAAUGCUUAGAAUUUUUUCUAACAGUCCAGUCUCCUGCUUUUGCAUUAUUUUUAGUCUACGUGUUUCUAAACAAAAAUCAAAUUGUCAUCACUGAU